GCUGGUGCUGGGCGAGGGCGACCUGGUCGGCUCCCGCCCGAUCGAGUUCUGGGCCGCGCCGUUCUGGUCGGACGCGCCCGCG
RNAcentral lists this transfer RNA (82 nucleotides) under Acrocarpospora phusangensis. RNAcentral's name for it is "tRNA-Gly". The record is from RNAcentral. Lineage: Bacteria; Bacillati; Actinomycetota; Actinomycetes; Streptosporangiales; Streptosporangiaceae.